UCGGCGCUCUUGACCUUGACGUAGACCGGGGAGGGGCCUGCUUCGCAGGUGGCGGCGGCGGCGGCGGCGGCGGGGGCGGUGGUGCGGAGCGCCAGGGCCACGUCCUCCGGGCCGCCGCAGGGCGGGGGCGCGUACUUGCGGCGCAGGGAGCGGCUGAUGUUCUGCGUCGGGUACCCCAGGAGGUGAGUCACCUACCCCCUGCUGAAACAGAGAUGCAAGGAAGGGCCCCUUUCCCAACAACUGGAGAGAGAUCAUCAAUUCACCCUGUGAUCCUUAGCGAGCCUUGGUCUCCUCAUUUGUACAGUGAGGACAGGGCUAGACCGGCAGAAUUCUAAGGUCCCUUCCAGCUUGGAUCCUCUUUGACUGUUCGAGAGGGUGAUGGAAGCAUCGUACUGGCUGGGAUCCGAGGCUGCAAAGCGGACCCUCUGCUGCAGAUGGGGGAGGUUACCGUGGUUGAUCCUCUUGUCCUGGUAACUAAGGAACUGUGAAGAAGAGAAGAAAACAGAGAUGGUGAGACAGGCAGAGCCAAGGAAAGCCUCGCGGAUUGGCUGUCAUGGGCAAUUCUCUAAACUUCCCUGAGACUUAGUUUUCUCCAAUGAAAAAUGGAAACGAUGGUGCCCAAUGCACUGACAUUUGCAUGAGAUCAGAUGAGAUCACGCUCUGCCCAACCUCUGCAUGACACGGGUGCGUAAGGAUUAAACAGAUGAGGUGUAUAAAGCUGCUGGCACGCAGAGAGGCUGCCUGGUACUCACAAUCAAAAACUAUCAGAGCUGCAAGUAUAAGGCCAGGGUGGGGACAGUGCCGCAUCUUCCCUUUGGAGUCGGGUGGGAGGAGGCAGACUGACAAGCUGGCAUGAUUGGUAAUAACAUAGCUCUUCCCUGUUGCCACAGUCUCUGAGAAGCCUUCGGGGAAGUUCAAGGGCUUGGUUUUCUUAUCUGCCAUGCUUCCCCCCACCCCCCGCCCCAGAGUGUUGGCUGCCCAACAGGUAGAUAUCCUGCAGUGUAGGGUGAGGGGAACCCAGCGCCCAGCACUCACCACAUUCUCCCGUUGUGAGGGGUCUGAGUGGACCUGCAUCCACUCGAUGUCCAGCCCAUUGGGACCAUAGUCCUCAGGGUCCAGGAUGUAGGGGCAGCCCAGUCUCACAUUGUCACCUUCCGCCAGGUACAGGAUCUCCUGGCCAUCCCCGUUGAUCCGCACAGCAGACAGCAGUGCUAGGAUGCAGGCAGGGCAGAUGGGGUAGGGGGAACAGAACCAGCACUUGGGUGGUCAGCUUCAACCCCUCUCCCUCCACCAUUUCUGUCUGUGGCAGUCCCGGGCUCAGUGGGGGUUUCCUGGGAAGGAGGGGCUUCUCUGAGUGUGUGCGUAGGUGUAUGCAUAAAUUGCUAGAUGCAUGUCUCUGCAUA
Molecule: long non-coding RNA, 1403 nt
Organism: Phacochoerus africanus (Common warthog)
Lineage: Eukaryota; Metazoa; Chordata; Mammalia; Artiodactyla; Suidae
Exons: 3
Source: RefSeq, a predicted model, not a curated record